GGAGAGGUCGCAUAGUGGCCUAGUGCGCUCGUUUGCUAAAUGAGUGAGGGUAUCCCCCUCCGCGAGUUCGAAUCUCGCCCUCUCCG
RNAcentral lists this transfer RNA (86 nucleotides) under Ktedonobacteraceae bacterium. RNAcentral's name for it is "tRNA-Ser". It matches the Rfam family "tRNA". Rfam says of the family: Transfer RNA (tRNA) molecules are approximately 80 nucleotides in length. Their secondary structure includes four short double-helical elements and three loops (D, anti-codon, and T loops). Further hydrogen bonds mediate the characteristic L-shaped molecular structure. tRNAs have two regions of fundamental functional importance: the anti-codon, which is responsible for specific mRNA codon recognition, and the 3' end, to which the tRNAs corresponding amino acid is attached (by aminoacyl-tRNA synthetases). tRNAs cope with the degeneracy of the genetic code in two manners: having more than one tRNA (with a specific anti-codon) for a particular amino acid; and 'wobble' base-pairing, i.e. permitting non-standard base-pairing at the 3rd anti-codon position. The record is from RNAcentral. Lineage: Bacteria; Bacillati; Chloroflexota; Ktedonobacteria; Ktedonobacterales; Ktedonobacteraceae.